Physella acuta is the source of this 180-nucleotide long non-coding RNA. RefSeq lists it as uncharacterized. NCBI's taxonomy places the organism in Eukaryota, Metazoa, Mollusca, Gastropoda, Physidae. The record is from RefSeq and is a predicted model, not a curated record.
GUGAAAACUACCUGGUUGAUUAUUCUAUUAGUGUUGAAGGAUUAAAUGUUAUAUAUAGACAUAUUUCUCGAAGGUACAGAUUACAGGUGAGUUACGAUUUAUGGUCAACAUCAAAACCCAGAAGAAAAAAACCAUCGAAGGGCCAUUGUCUAAAAAACCCAAAUUUUGACAAAAUUUAAC